This 651-nucleotide long non-coding RNA is filed under the name Homo sapiens (human). RNAcentral's name for it is "non-protein coding lnc-SCN1A-2:1". The record is from RNAcentral. Lineage: Eukaryota; Metazoa; Chordata; Mammalia; Primates; Hominidae.
GGGGCGCUAGAGCGCUCCGGGAGGCUAGGGGAGCUGAAUUCUGCGUCUUCCUUUAGGCUGCGGCGAGACAAUCCCCAGAGCCCCGCGGCCCGGCCUCGGGGCAGCCAUGGACUCGCAGGAAUUGAAGACUUUGAUUAAUUACUAUUGUCAAGAGAGAUAUUUCCAUCAUGUAUUACUGGUUGCCAGUGAAGGAAUUAAGAGGUAUGGAAGUGAUCCAGUCUUCAGGUUUUAUCAUGCCUAUGGCACAUUAAUGGAAGGUAAAACUCAAGAAGCUCUUCGAGAAUUUGAGGCUAUUAAAAAUAAACAAGAUGUAUCACUUUGUUCUCUACUUGCACUGAUAUAUGCCCAUAAAAUGAGUCCUAAUCCAGGUAUGAUAUUUAAAUGCAAUGCUUAGGACAUUUUUUCCUAUUCAGUUUAUUUUUAUUUUUCUCAGUUACCAAGUCAUUCAGUCUGAUCACACUAUAUUAUGUAUUUUCUGUAGGUACAAUUUAUACAUAUGUUUAUCUUCCUGACAAGGGUGUAAAUUCAUCAGGCACAAGAAAUGUGUCUUAUACUAUUUUCGUGUUCCUUAUAUCCUCUGGCAGAGGUUUCAUUAGUACAUAGGGAUUUUUUUAGAUAAAAGGGAAUGUAUAUUAGUAAUUGUUACACAAA